UACGUAGGGAGCAAGCGUUGUCCGGAAUCAUUGGGCGUAAAGCGCGCGUAGGUGGCUUCGUAAGUCCGUUGUGAAAGUCAAAGGCUCAACCUUUGAAAGCCGAUGGAUACUGCGGAGCUAGAGUACGGAAGAGGCGAGUGGAAUUCCUGGUGUAGCGGUGGAAUGCGCAGAUAUCAGGAGGAACACCAAUAGCGAAGGCAACUCGCUGGGACGUUACUGACACUGAGGCGCGAAAGCGUGGGGAGCGAACAGG
This 253-nucleotide ribosomal RNA is filed under the name uncultured bacterium. RNAcentral's name for it is "partial 16S ribosomal RNA". It matches the Rfam family "Bacterial small subunit ribosomal RNA", at positions 524 to 776 of the family's 1533-position model. The record is from RNAcentral.